Aegilops tauschii subsp. strangulata is the source of this 2649-nucleotide non-coding RNA. Lineage: Eukaryota; Viridiplantae; Streptophyta; Magnoliopsida; Poales; Poaceae. The record is from RefSeq and is a predicted model, not a curated record.
CACUCUCUCUCUCUCAUCCCUAAAAAAACUCUCUCACGAACUCCGCACGAUCUCCUCGGUCCACCCCACCCCGGCUCCUCUCCCCACGAUCUCCUCGCCACCGCCCCCACCCACGCCGGCCGGUUCCGGCGAGCACCGGCCGUGCGCAACACCCAACCUCCUCCUCCUCCCCCUCCCUUCCCCUUCCUCCUCCGCCCGCCCCUUCUCUCUCCUCCUUCCUCCCGGCGGCCGACGAUGGGCGCGGACGAGAAGGAGCACCAGUCCCCCGCGCGGAAGCGCGAGCGCGAGGAGGGGGAGGUGCCCGCGGCCGCCGACGAGAUGCGCCCGCGCACGGUGGACGAGUCGGAGGGCGCCUCGCUGCUGGGGCUCGCCAACUACGCAGACGAGGAGGAGGAGCGCGGGGCCCCGAGGGGGCACGCGAACGGCCGGCCCCGGGAGGAGGAGGAGGAAGACGAUGAGGAUGAGGAGGAGGACGAGAGGAGGGCUCCGGAGAGGCGGCCCAGGCAGGUCGAGCUGCGCCGGGACUGCCCCAACCCGGCAGGUAUACUGUCUUUAGUUGCAAUGGAGCGGGCUACGAUUGUUGGCGAUGCAGUAGUCUCUUACUAGUCACUAAGAUAUCAUUCCAUAAGCUGUAAACAAUCAUAUCCAAAACACAAAUUAUUAUCCCCACUUCUGUCCCUGUUUAUUUUCUUGGAUUUAAACAAUGGAUUGAUCUCUUAGCCACCAAUAUAUCAUUCUGUAAGCUGUAAUCAAUAGUAUCCAAAUGGAAUGGGACCUUUCUUUUAUUUGAAACUUCCAAAUCAAGGGUUUUCCUUGAAAUAUAUUCACGGUGGUGUAAGUGAUUUAGCUUUUGAACAGAAACUUUUACAAGGUUCUGGUUGCUUUGACAGUACAAUAUGUUCUACUGUACAUUAUAUUUCCAUAUCUAUAUAAUUUAGUUUGAGAAAGUAACUUAAGGAGGUGUAUCCCUUUUUUAUAAUUCCUCUACACUACUCAACCGCUAUCUGCCUCUAAUUAUUAUAGUGACAUCACUUAUGGGUGCGACGCUAAAUUCUUGAGAACCUGCUCUAAUCAUCAUAUUUUUCGCUAUCUUAAUUCUUGUAUGCGAUGCCAUGAAUAUAUACUGUUAUAUAUUUUGCUACAUUAGUGUUGUUGCUGCUUCUGUUCAAAUUAUAGUAUAUUGAUCAAAUUAACCUUUUGCUACAUUAGUAUGCGAUGCCAUGAACUUUCCAUCCCUCCGUUCAGGUGUAUUACUGUUUCUGAACUAUCAGGCACAAAGGAUGCCGAGCCUUGUUCAUCUGGUGAUCACUGUAUUGGAAUCUGAAGGAUAUUUAGCCUUGUCAUCAUGAUGGCCGUUGUCUUCCUUUUUCCUGAAUAUUAUGACCAGCUGUUUAAAGCCUGAAACUGAAGCUUGAUCUUACGUAAAAUUGACUACGGCCUAAUUUUUAUGCUGCAGUCAGGCCUUGGAUAGAAAAUAAUCGUGUUAUCCAGGUGACAUUUCACUAUAUUAUUUUAGUUUUGUAAAUGCACAUUCACGGAUUAUAGUAGCGUUUCUGUUUACUGAAUUUCGUUCUGCUGUUUUUUUCCAUAUCGCUCAUUCUGUUGGCAUGUUUACUCAAAUGUGCCUAAUGUGGUGAGAUCCAGCCGUGCGGCGCCUCGGUCUAUCCUGUCGCGGUAGAUCUCGCUGGUGUAGGGUAGAUGUUGACCCGCCGUGGCAAUUCGUAGAUGUAGAGACGCACGGGGAGCACAUGAGCAUGGUUUCAGAUCAGGCUCCUGUGACGAACCCCAUCCGGUCCAGAAGCUUCCAGGUCUAGCGUAUCGGCGUGAACGACGUCUCUUUCAGAAUGCAUAGUUUACCUGCGGACAUCCGGGCUUAUCAUUUGCUGCCUAAUUGGCUAGCUAGCUUCACCCUGCUGCCGAUUCUCUGCUUGGUUCUUCCAAUGUACAUGCAGGUUCAGUGAGUUUGGAACCGAUGGAGGACAACAGCAAAGUCUCUGAAGCCGAAGUUCAACCUCUUUGUCAAGCAGGUGUCCGCCAGCAUUGGGAUGGCAGAGCCACACAUUGAUGUAUGGAUAUUUUCUGGCAGGUCUCCGCCAGCAUUGGGAAUUUGGGAUGGCAGUGCCACACAUUGAUGUAUGGAUACUUUCUGGUCGCUUGCCCCGUUGUACAUCAUUGUUCCCUUUUUAAGGAUCCAUUCACCUAGUUCCUGUUUUUUAUGGCUUUUGUUCUGUUUGUUUACAGAUCAAGUCUGUCAUUGCCUUUACCAUGUUUCUUAAAGCCUUUGGUGGUCUCCUUUUCAUCACCAGCAGCUCGUUCGGAGCGGUCGUACUGGGCAAUGGAUAAAAUCUACUCUGGAUAGUUGACAGAGGGAGUACAUGCUAAGUUGACUUUUUUCCUGCGGAUUUGCUUAUCGUGAAGAUGCUUGCAAGGAUGCAGAGGGAGCGGAUCAUUUGGAGAGAUAGGAUGCCACUGUUUGGUGUUUUUAUGCAUUUUGGUUUGCUUGUAACUGUGUUUGCACUAGCUGGGAGUAACUGACUUGGCAAGAAGUGUAGGUGUUUUAAUUGAAGGCAUGAAAAGCCAUGACAAUAUGUAUGCUCUUACAGGAUGUGCUCUAAUGCCGCUGGUUUAUUAUAAAUCUUGGAUUAGUAA